This 497-nucleotide ribosomal RNA is filed under the name uncultured bacterium. RNAcentral's name for it is "partial 16S ribosomal RNA". It matches the Rfam family "Bacterial small subunit ribosomal RNA", at positions 28 to 507 of the family's 1533-position model. The record is from RNAcentral.
GAUGAACGCUGGCGGCGUGCCUAAUACAUGCAAGUCGAGCGAACAGACGAGGAGCUUGCUCCUCUGACGUUAGCGGCGGACGGGUGAGUAACACGUGGAUAACCUACCUAUAAGACUGGGAUAACUUCGGGAAACCGGAGCUAAUACCGGAUAAUAUAUUGAACCGCAUGGUUCAAUAGUGAAAGACGGUUUUGCUGUCACUUAUAGAUGGAUCCGCGCCGCAUUAGCUAGUUGGUAAGGUAACGGCUUACCAAGGCGACGAUGCGUAGCCGCCCUGAGGGGGUGAUCGGCCACACUGGAACUGAGACACGGCCCAGACUCCUAGGGGAGGAAGCAGUAGGGAAUCUUCCGCAAUGGGCGAAAGCCUGACGUAGCAACGCCGCGGGAGUGCUGAAGGUCUUCGGAUCGUAAAACUCUGUUAUUAGGGAAGAACAAAUGUGUAAGUAACUAUGAACGUCUUGACGGUACCUAAUCAGAAAGCCACGGCUAACUACGUG